Molecule: long non-coding RNA, 530 nt
Filed under: Setaria viridis
Lineage: Eukaryota; Viridiplantae; Streptophyta; Magnoliopsida; Poales; Poaceae
Description: long non-coding RNA (SVIR_LNC005993)
Source: RNAcentral
GGCUUUAGAAUGAGGGUUGGAUGUCUGGCAGUGGCGAUGCACGUAAGGUGAAGAGGCAAGGGUGAAACUGUUGAUCGGUGCAAUAGAGGAUGUCUGGUUAGUGGGUCGAGGCAAGGGCAGCAAGAGGGGCAAGGAGGAGAUUGCCACCACCAGGACAAUGGCUUGUCUAGGCGGCGGCGGAGCUGAUGGAGCAGGAGACGACUAUGGUUAAUAUAACCUAUUAGUGUUGGAUCUGGAUUCGGUGGAGCAAAAAAUUGAACGACAAGCAUCGAGUAGACAAUUCUAUAGGUUAAAUGCAUCCAAAAGCCCAUGUGGAAACAUGCACCUUUUUAUUGAUAUAGAUGUGAGAUCACAAAUAUAUCUCACUUUCAAAAAAAUAAAUAAAAUAUUCAGGUUAGAGUGUGGAUUGCCUUGGCAAUGCCAAACAUGUUUGUCAAAGAUACAACUUAGAAGAAUGUAUUUUUGAAGCCCACCUAGCUUUGCAAAAAGAGUAACUGAACUUCCAAUUUAUACGAGCUACUCCCUCCGUC